GUCUAGUCAGGUCCUUUACUCACAGCUGUGAAAAAGCUCACUUAAACAGUGCCUUUCAAUGGAGGGUCUACUGUAUUUUUUUUUCCUACCCACCCCUUGACCUAGCACAUAGUCAGCAAUAAACAUCACUGGACGUGGAAUUGAAUUCUUGGGUAUUUUGUUCUGAGAAAGACCACCUUUGCCACCAUUUGGGUAACAACCCGUUCAAUGGAUAAGAGAGAGAACAGGCCAUGUCAUUUCACACGGGGUGAAUCUGGGAAAUGCACUUCCCACUGGAUUUGGAAGUAUUUAUCUUCUCUAAGUAGGAAAAGUCCAAUUAGAAUCCUCCAGGCUAAUAUUACUUGGUCACAGAUCCCUUUAUUUCCUUUAAGGUCACAUUCUUUCUGGAGUGUUCCAUGCCAUAAAACACAUGGUCAGGGAGCUUGUGUUGAAUCGAAUGUCCCUCCAGGCUCUCUUUCUUCGACUUGUCCCAUCUUUUCAGAUUGUUUUUGUGGCCACACGUCUCCAGCUUGAACCCAAGCAUCCCCCGGUUGCGAAACACCCGCAGCCCUGGGGCUGCAGGGCAGGCAUCUGCUUCCAGGCCAGACAAACAGAUAGAGCCUCUCUUCUCGGGCACCGGGUCUUUACGACCACAGCAGCUAUGUUGCUCUCAGGGUAAUCCCAAUCUAAACAGCCAAUAUUUAAAACGACAUAAACCUUUUCCUUGGGAGCAUC
RNAcentral lists this long non-coding RNA (714 nucleotides) under Marmota monax (woodchuck). Lineage: Eukaryota; Metazoa; Chordata; Mammalia; Rodentia; Sciuridae. The record is from RNAcentral.